RNAcentral lists this long non-coding RNA (1423 nucleotides) under Homo sapiens (human). Its description in RNAcentral is "non-protein coding lnc-SH3BGRL-1:1". The record is from RNAcentral. Lineage: Eukaryota; Metazoa; Chordata; Mammalia; Primates; Hominidae.
CAGAUUUACAUGGGGCUUAUUUUUUUUUUUUUUUUGGCCUAUUUCUCCCUUUUGGAAUGGGAAAGUCUACCAAAUAUCUGUCCCACCAUUAUAUCUUGGAAGUAAAUAACUUGCUUUUUAUUUUAUAGGCUCAUAGCUGAAAGGAACUUGCCUGAGUCUUCAAUGAGACUGGAUUUUGGACUUUAGAGUUAAUGCUGGGACAAGUUAAGACUUUUGAGACUACUGAGAUGAAAUGACGUAUGUGAGAAGAAUAUGAGUUGAGGGGGAGGGGAAGAAUGCUUUGGUUUGGAUAGCAUUUGGAUGAUUGCUUUGGUCCCACCACAACACCUUGAAAUUUGGUCCCCAGUGUGGCAGUGUUGGGAGGAGGGGCCUAGUGAAAGGUGUUUGGGAAAUGGAGGAGGAUUCCUCGUGAAAGGCUUGGUGCUAUUCUUAUAGUAGUGAAUGUUUUUUGUCAUUUAUUAAUGUGCUUUACAUUUAUUUGAUGUGUUCCUUGUUUUUUUAUAUUUAUGUUACAUUGUUUGGAAUUGGAAAGGAAUUUAAGAGAUCAUUUGGCCCAGGGAUACAAAAUGUCUUACAUAAAAGCUUCCACACUUAUUCCCUUGUCCGUGCCAGAUACUGUUUAAAUGAUUAUAGUGAUCUUUCCUAUGGAGUCUCAGAAUUCUUCUGAACACAUUACUUUAGGAAGAUGCUACCAAUCAUUAGAUCUGGCACAGGAGUUAAAACCUAUUUGCUACUUCAAUCUAGUCUAGACAAUCUCAUUUUACCAACAAGGAAACUGAAAUACAGAAAAAUCAAAUGAUACCCCAGGACUCAAAACUUGUAACAUGCAAAGGAAGAAUAAUUCUGGUGCUUCUUACUCAAUCCAGUGGUAUUUCUACUAUAUGUCUUUUAAGGUCAUCUUGAAAGAGAAAUUUUCUGAAGUAACAGGAAAAUUACUAUGAAGUGCACACUUCAAGAUUUUCUUGAAAAACGUGCAUUUCUGUUUUCAGUGCUAAUCAACCCUGGUUAUGACUAGUGUCUUAGAAAACACCAAAAAGAGUUGUUUAUUUGAACAACAUAUGAUAUAAGCCCAGUAUGAAAUAUUUGUUAAGUAAAGCUUUUCUGAGUGAAAUAAGUGUGUGUGUGUAUUUGUUCUCUCCCCCACUCCAUCUCAAGCACCAAGUAACUCUUGGGACCCCCUAAGCCUUUUUAAAGAACAGUUUGAAAGCCAUUACACUCGAGAAACAAAUGUUUCUGCCUAAAGGAACUGUAAAUAUUAUACAUUCAUAAUUUAAAGUAUAUUUUUUCAACUCAGAUACCAUAUCUAUUUGUCAAACACAAAGAGUCAUAGACUGAUAUUUCCCUGAAUUAUGCCAAUGGACUUCAUAUAUAUAACAAACUAGUGAUUCAUUUUUAAUGUACUUGAUUAAUAAGCAGAUUUUAU